CCUACGGGGGGCUGCAGUCGAGGAUCUUCGGCAAUGGGGGGAACCCUGACCGAGCGACGCCGCGUGGGCGACGAAGGCCUUCGGGUUGUAAAGCCCUGUCGAGGGGGAGAAAAGCCGAAAGGCCUGAUCCAUCCCUGGAGGAAGCACGGGCUAAGUUCGUGCCAGCAGCCGCGGUAAGACGAACCGUGCGAACGUUGUUCGGAAUCACUGGGCUUAAAGGGCGCGUAGGCGGGCUGGCAAGUCCGGGGUGAAAGUCGCCGGCUCAACCGGCGAAC
This 275-nucleotide ribosomal RNA is filed under the name uncultured bacterium. RNAcentral describes it as "partial 16S ribosomal RNA". It matches the Rfam family "Bacterial small subunit ribosomal RNA", at positions 338 to 621 of the family's 1533-position model. The record is from RNAcentral.